Molecule: long non-coding RNA, 5699 nt
Filed under: Homo sapiens (human)
Lineage: Eukaryota; Metazoa; Chordata; Mammalia; Primates; Hominidae
Description: long non-coding RNA NONHSAT143517.2
Source: RNAcentral
GGGCUCCCGUGUGGUAGAGCCUUCCCAGCCUGAGUCCGGUGCUCAGGCCUGCUGGCCAGCCCCGAGCUUCCAAAGAUACAGCAUGCAAGGGGAGGAGGCACGGGCUGCGCUGCUCCGUCCCUCUUUCAUUCCACAGGAGGUAAAGCUGUCCAUUGAAGGGCGUUCCAAUGCGGGAAAAUGAACCUCUUCCCCAGACCAGGACUGGGGCUUUACCCCAGAGCCUCGCCUCGCCGCCGUGAGCAGGCAGAGGAUUUGCACACGCCGAGCAGGGAAUGGCUUUCUUGGCAGUGAGAUUUGGGGGAAAGGGGAGGCAUGAAGUCAGCCUCCCAAGGCAGGAUCUGUUGUUCAUUACCCCAUGGCAUCCUUUCAGGACAACCCCAGAGGGUGUUGUGAUGGGGAGCAGCAGGCCUGGGGCAAGGAAGGAAGGGGGUGCACACAGGAGAAGAAACAUUCCAAAAUCAGGGCCUCCCUGUUCUUUCCUCCCCAUCCCUAGCUCCUGCAAGAGAAAGUCCAGGCUUUGGGAGCAGAUGGCAGAGGGAGGGAGUAAAGAAAGAGCCAAAAAUGAUGAUCCACAGCUUAUAGUAGCAGUUAAACUGUCAGAAGUUUUUUUUCUUUUUUGUGGUAGAAGGGCAGGAGGCCCCAAGGUUGGAAAUAAGAGGGUUCCCACCCAGAACCCUUCUUGUGAGAGAUGCGCACUUUAAAGGGUGAUUUUGUUCCAGAUGUCUAUGGCUGGGUGUGUGGGGGAGGAGCACUCUCAUCUGCAGGACUCUGCUUGAUCCUCUGCUUCAUAGCCCUUCCCCAUCUCUCCUCACCAUUCUGCCUACAAGGCUUCUAGCAGCACGGGGGCCCGGAGGGAGAGCCCCUUCAGGGUUCAGAGUGAAGUACUACCUUGCCAGGGACUCAGUCAGGGGACUUUGGGAGAAAGACUUGAUAGCCAGGCUGACUGGGUUCUAGGCAGGCCCUCUGGAAAGGUAGCUCACCUAACAAAGCUCCUCCAUCUCAGCAUGCCAGACCCACUUUGAAAUCUCACAGAAUCUUGCUGGUAAUGGUGACUUUAGAACUAGUAGACCCUUUUUCCCAGGCACUGACCCCCCACCUUUGUCUGUGUUGUGCCCAAGUGCCUGCGCCACCCCCACCCUCCUGCUGCGCUGACCGCUGCAUGGUGUCGUGACCUGGGCCUCAUUUGUAGCUGCACUGCCUUUCCUUGUCUGCAAAGUUGGUUUUGUCCACUCUGACCAAGACCUCUAGUUUUUGGUGGGUAGGGGGUCUCUCUGGUUUCCCCUUCAGCUAUAAUCUCUAUUUUUAAAAUCUCAAAAUCAUGUCCCCUCCACUUCCACUGCCAAACAGCUUGGUGAAGAAACAAGAAGGGAACUAUGCCCUGGGCCAGGGCGAAUGCGUGGCUGGGCAGUGCCCAUCAUGGCAUUUUCACAUGUCCCAUAUGCCCCUCCUGUCUUAUUCCACUGCUUCUCCCAGCAUUCUGGUGCCUCCAAGCCAUCCCCUCCCACCACCAGCUCUAAGAUUCUAGGAUAGUCUUGAUAACAUUUCAGUACCUGAAUAGAUGUCAUUUUGUGUUGGUAUAUUCCUCUGCAAAAAGUAUUUUCAAUCUUGGUUGCAUUGGCACCCCCCCUACCCCCCACCAAUGUCUUAAUCCCACAUUUUCUUCACAACUUUUAGCAUCAGCUCAGACCGUGGGGUUCCACUGGGUAUUGGGAAUUAGGCUCCCCCACUAGCUUUCAGGUGGGUAAGUUUUUUUGUUUGUUUUUUGGGGGUCUUUAGACUCUUGAAGGCAACUCAGGGUAUUGUCCACGCAGCUCUCUGGUUAGACUUCUCCCAGGCUAUGAUCCUGGCAUGUCCUUUAUAAGGUAUACUUGGAUUGGCCGAGACCUGGCCUGGCAUCAGGAGUCCAAACCUCUGAGGUCUGAUCUCUGCUCUGUCAAGGACUUUCGGCAAGUCUCGUGACCUCUGGCUCUUUCACUUCCUCCCCACCUGCCAAAUGGGGAUAAAUAAUCUUACCUACCUCCUGGGGGGAGGGGAAGUUCUGAGAAUGGAGUCAUUCUUAGUGUUCAGGUGCUAAAGGUUGUUCUCCUGGGGGAACAGAGUGACUGAAACUGGCUUGUUUGCUACAAGCCCUACCCUCCACUCUUUCAUUCCUUGAAAGCAGUUUGCCUGGUCAGUCAGCUUUUGGGGGUCCAUCAAAGGAGGUUGCUGACCUGACCGUGAGUGCUUCAGUAUCUGGUUUGUGUCAGAACCAGACGCCAACUUUGUACUGCAUUUGGGAUCAUAUCUUUCCCCUUCUCUGUCCCCCAUUCUCUGAAUGCUGCUUUCUCUGGCUUGUUUCCUACAGUGGGGGCCUGUGGGGUUGAGUCUUGAGGAAUCCCCUCAAAUGAGAAGGCCUUGGGAGAAGGCCUCAUCUCUGGCUGUUUCAUGAGCAACUCAUUCCUAGAGUUCAUUGUUUGCAUGGGUUUCUCACAAGCGUCCUUCCUCAUAGGAAGGCUCAUCAACUGAAUUUAGUGACAUGUACACAGUAGAUGCUCAAGCAGUGUCUGCAAGGACACAAGCUGAGCUUUCUCCUUAUGGGGCAAACCUAUGUCUAACCAGAUACAGACCAAUUAGUUUAGAUCAAAUCACCUUCCACUUGGGCUACUUGUGACUUUCCAACCUGGUAACUUCCACUGAAUUCUGGAAAGAGAAAUUCUUGAGGACCCUGGCAAGUUGGGCCCUGACCUUUCUGUUGCUGUCUCUUGCUGGUGAAGCAAUACCAGCAGUUCCUGUAAUACCACAAUAUCGUUCCAUGCAUAUAUAACAUAUUAAUACUUGAUUUUGCUGAGCUGCAAAGGUAUCUGUCAUAAAAUAUGGUCCCCAGGAAAAGAAUCUCUGUGCUCUAAAUCUCGGUCAGAGCUGUGGCCUCCCCCUUGCCUUUAACCUCUAGUUUAGUCUUUUCCUCCAGGCAUGAAAAAUAUGACUAACCUGUGGUGUGUCCAUUCUUCCUUAUAGGAAUUUCCUGAGUUUGCAGGAGACAUGAGAGCAGUUUUUAGCGAGUAUUUUAGUGGGAAGUUGCCAACUUUUUAAGAAUGAGCAGUUGACAAGGGCCAGAGCCUGUCCCUUGUCAGCAGUAGGACAUUUCCAGCUCUUAGGAAUAGAAAGGAGGACUGCUGACUGUCUGGCGCUGUAUAAAAAUGUGUAUACCAAUUUGGGAAUAGGGGAACCCAGUCAUGGAUGGAUAAUAAGCCAAGUCUUGAAUCAUUCCUAUCAAGAUUAGUAUACAUGAGGAAGAGGUGGCAUGGGGGGAAGGGGCUCUGGGAGUUCAGAGCUGAGUACUUGUACCUGAGGGAGGGCCCCCAGCCAAUCUGGGCUGGUCCUUCUAUAUUCUUGGUCCCAGUUGGUCAUAACACCAAGGGCUUUGCCCUGCGCUGCUUUGCCACUGCUGCUGUCCGCUCACUGUCCUGCCUGCUGUCCUCUACAGCUCCCUAUCCUUCCAUGUCUUUGGCCAUGUAGAUUAAGUGUAGGCGUCCGGUUCAUUCUUACCUGUGUUAGGCCAUGUUAUUUUAUAGCGAAGUCAUGUUCGAUAGGGAUGGUAUGAAAUGCUGCUGGUGGGCUGGUAAAUCCAAAGGGAUAAGGCUUCAGUGCUGUUGGGAGCCCUCUGGCUCCAAAUGUCUGACUAUCUUGAGGGAGAAACAAGCAGGUUUCUACUAGUGGUGUCUUCUGUUGUAUUAACUUCUUUCCUUUGUGGUAUCUUGUAUCCUGUUUUAAAAACUAAAUGAAGGGAACCACAUUAGGGCCCAUGCCAGCAUCCCAGUGAAGUUCGUCCAGCUCCAGUUAGGUGGAUUCUGGAGUUCGGAGAGGGUUUAAAGUUUGGCUGAAAUAGCACCUCAAGUGGGGUUUAGUUUUAUUUUUACCUGCGGGCAUCAUGGGCGAUUUAGGGGGAAGCACAGGAUGGUGGUGUGGUUUAAACCUGCAGCAAGCAGGCAUGUUGAAGAGUUGAGUGAUCACGCUGGAGAUGAAGGGUUGGACAUGGAUUGACUGGGAAAAGGCCUGGGUCCAUUGGAGUAAAGAUAACCUAGUCGAUUGAAUUGGCCAUGGGAAGUUAGGUCACAGUCUUAUAAACAAAGUAAAUAGGACAGAGACUAAGUUUUAGGGAGACAUCUUGGCCUCCUAGGCUAAGUUUACUAAACCACACUGAAGCUAUAGUACCUUCCAGAUGGGCAAAAGUGUACACUACAGUUGAGGAGCUGAACCUUAUUAGGUUGGAUGUCGAUCAGGAACCUGUUUGCCCUUUGCUGGGAAGCCUUCACUCUCCAGCUUUCCUGGGGUAGGGAAGGUCUCCCACAUUAUGCAAUAAUAAAAUAAGCAUCUGGGUCUUUGCAGCUGUCAGUUGCUCUUUCAACUCUAGGAUCCAUCUUUGGACCAGAAGCCUGGUCUGUGCCUAGGAUGACACUGGCCCCAGAGAUGCUAGAGUCGACUGCACUCUCUCCUUAGCUGCAGACCAUGCACAGUGCCUGGGGCGGAAGGAGGAGAGGUGUUGCGGUUUGCCCUGCUGCCUCCCCAGCAGGAACAAUAGUCAUAAAUGCACUUUUCACACUAAAGGUUUCUUUAUUAGUUCUCCAGUUAAACCUAGAUCCCUCCCUGGUAGAUUGCGAACUCAAAGUUUUGUGAUCCCAAAGCCAUUCCACUGCAAAUGCCCAGCAGUGAAGAUGGCCUCAAAUUGGGUUCUUGCCUGCAGUGUGUGUGGCAGCAGCCCAUGUGCCUUUACCUGUUGUCAAACUUGCAAGCAUUUAUUUGUCUUUAUGACUGUCAUGGGGACUGAGGUUCUUCAGAGAAAGAGUGUGAGCUGAUGACACAGUGGUUUUACACCCACCCCCUGGGCAGGGAGUUUGCACGUAGUUGUGAGCUGUGAGUGGUUAGUGCAUUGCUGGUAUUGCUGAAGGCAGGGUUGAUCCCUCACUUGACUGAUACUUGCAUUCAAGAGAAUCUAGAUUGUGUUGGGGGAGGGACUGACUGUACUCAUGGCUAACUUAAAGUAUUAAAAUAAGGCUGUCCCCUACAACCUUCUUAGUCACACAGGAUCCCUGUAGCCAAAACAGUAUAUGAUCCAGCUGCAGAGAGCAGACUGCUCUCAGCUUGCACAGCACCUUAGGCGAGGGAAGAAUAUACGGAUAGGGAAUGGGGUGGAGAAAGGAUGGGAAUGUUGUCAUCCAGGUGGCUUUAGGGUCCUAAGGAGUGGAGAAGGAUGGCACUGGGGAGGUCUGGAUGGAUCUGUGUAGGAGUUCCCUGUAGAUAAAUUACUGAUCCCCCAUCUACUAUCCCCAGUAUGUAAUGGCUGAAUUAAUAUGUAAUCAACUGCAUUGUAUCUAAAGCCUUAGAACUAGUCAGGUGCUCCCUCCACCCAAUACCAUUUCUUACCCUCUAAUCCUACCUGAUCUUUAACAAAGCAUUAAUAAUUCUAAGGAUAAUCUCUAUUUUGUUGUGCUUUUUUGUAACUGUUUUAAAUAAAUCAAUUUGUACUGUAUAUUUGUACUUUUGUGAGAUCCUUUUUGCUGUUUUACCAUUUUAAGUCUCUGUACUUGGCUACACACAGAUUGUAUUUUUAUUGUUAAUGCUCUUCUUAUGGAUACCUGCAUUUAACUUGUGGACUAUGUAAACACAAUAUCUAUCAAUAUCUAUAUAUCUAUAUAUCUAUCUAUAUAAACUACUAGCUUUUC